RNAcentral lists this ribosomal RNA (579 nucleotides) under uncultured Bacillus sp. RNAcentral's name for it is "bacterial SSU rRNA". It matches the Rfam family "Bacterial small subunit ribosomal RNA", at positions 347 to 916 of the family's 1533-position model. The record is from RNAcentral. Lineage: Bacteria; Bacillati; Bacillota; Bacilli; Caryophanales; Bacillaceae.
GGCAGCAGUAGGGAAUCUUCCGCAAUGGACGAAAGUCUGACGGAGCAACGCCGCGUGAGUGAUGAAGGUUUUCGGAUCGUAAAGCUCUGUUGUUAGGGAAGAACAAGUACCGUUCGAAUAGGGCGGUACCUUGACGGUACCUAACCAGAAAGCCACGGCUAACUACGUGCCAGCAGCCGCGGUAAUACGUAGGUGGCAAGCGUUGUCCGGAAUUAUUGGGCGUAAAGGGCUCGCAGGCGGUUUCUUAAGUCUGAUGCGAAAGCCCCCGGCUCAACCGGGGAGGGUCAUUGGAAACUGGGGAACUUGAGUGCAGAAGAGGAGAGUGGAAUUCCACGUGUAGCGGUGAAAUGCGUAGAGAUGUGGAGGAACACCAGUGGCGAAGGCGACUCUCUGGUCUGUAACUGACGCUGAGGAGCGAAAGCGUGGGGAGCGAACAGGAUUAGAUACCCUGGUAGUCCACGCCGUAAACGAUGAGUGCUAAGUGUUAGGGGGUUUCCGCCCCUUAGUGCUGCAGCUAACGCAUUAAGCACUCCGCCUGGGGAGUACGGUCGCAAGACUGAAACUCAAAGGAAUUGACGG